GCCUCUGUAGUAUACUAAUUAUACUGAUUUUGUAAAUCAGAGAUGGAGAAAAUCCCCUCCCAAAGGCU
This 68-nucleotide transfer RNA is filed under the name Ia io (Great evening bat). RNAcentral's name for it is "tRNA-Thr". The record is from RNAcentral. Lineage: Eukaryota; Metazoa; Chordata; Mammalia; Chiroptera; Vespertilionidae.